AUUAACUCUUCUGUGGAGGCAAAAAUUCAAUAUUUUGUAUGUUUUUGUUGGAAAAUUAGCUAUAUUUUUAGAUUUGAUGGACAUAAUGUACCUUAAGUAAUAUAAACUCAAUGUUAUUUUCCUUCAAAUUUUGGCAUUUUUAAGCUUUUAGUUUGACCCACCAUCCUCAGGUAGACACUUCAAACUAGCAGACAAACAGAC
Long non-coding RNA from Stegastes partitus (bicolor damselfish), 201 nucleotides. RefSeq lists it as uncharacterized. The record is from RefSeq and is a predicted model, not a curated record. The transcript is spliced from 2 exons. NCBI's taxonomy places the organism in Eukaryota, Metazoa, Chordata, Actinopteri, Pomacentridae.